GGGGAUUUAGCUCAGUGGUAGAGCGCUUGCAUAGAAAGUGCAAGGCCCUGGGUUCAGUCCCCA
This 63-nucleotide transfer RNA is filed under the name Rattus norvegicus (Norway rat). It matches the Rfam family "tRNA". From Rfam's summary of the family: Transfer RNA (tRNA) molecules are approximately 80 nucleotides in length. Their secondary structure includes four short double-helical elements and three loops (D, anti-codon, and T loops). Lineage: Eukaryota; Metazoa; Chordata; Mammalia; Rodentia; Muridae. The record is from Rfam by way of RNAcentral.